UGCAUCGGCCGGGAAUCGAACCUGGGCCGCCCACGUGGCAGGCGAGCAUUCUACCACUGAACCACCGAUGC
RNAcentral lists this transfer RNA (71 nucleotides) under Cordylochernes scorpioides. Its description in RNAcentral is "tRNA-Gly". Lineage: Eukaryota; Metazoa; Arthropoda; Arachnida; Pseudoscorpiones; Chernetidae. The record is from RNAcentral.